GAGUAACACGUGGAUAACCUACCUAUAAGACUGGGAUAACUUCGGGAAACCGGAGCUAAUACCGGAUAAUAUUUUGAACCGCAUGGUUCAAAAGUGAAAGACGGUCUUGCUGUCACUUAUAGAUGGAUCCGCGCUGCAUUAGCUAGUUGGUAAGGUAACGGCUUACCAAGGCAACGAUGCAUAGCCGACCUGAGAGGGUGAUCGGCCACACUGGAACUGAGACACGGUCCAGACUCCUACGGGAGGCAGCAGUAGGGAAUCUUCCGCAAUGGGCGAAAGCCUGACGGAGCAACGCCGCGUGAGUGAUGAAGGUCUUCGGAUCGUAAAACUCUGUUAUUAGGGAAGAACAUAUGUGUAAGUAACUGUGCACAUCUUGACGGUACCUAAUCAGAAAGCCACGGCUAACUACGUGCCAGCAGCCGCGGUAAUACGUAGGUGGCAAGCGUUAUCCGGAAUUAUUGGGCGUAAAGCGCGCGUAGGCGGUUUUUUAAGUCUGAUGUGAAAGCCCACGGCUCAACCGUGGAGGGUCAUUGGAAACUGGAAAACUUGAGUGCAGAAGAGGAAAGUGGAAUUCCAUGUGUAGCGGUGAAAUGCGCAGAGAUAUGGAGGAACACCAGUGGCGAAGGCGACUUUCUGGUCUGUAACUGACGCUGAUGUGCGAAAGCGUGGGGAUCAAACAGGAUUAGAUACCCUGGUAGUCCACGCCGUAAACGAUGAGUGCUAAGUGUUAGGGGGUUUCCGCCCCUUAGUGCUGCAGCUAACGCAUUAAGCACUCCGCCUGGGGAGUACGACCGCAAGGUUGAAACUCAAAGGAAUUGACGGGGACCCGCACAAGCGGUGGAGCAUGUGGUUUAAUUCGAAGCAACGCGAAGAACCUUACCAAAUCUUGACAUCCUUUGACAACUCUAGAGAUAGAGCUUUCCCCUUCGGGGGACAAAGUGACAGGUGGUGCAUGGUUGUCGUCAGCUCGUGUCGUGAGAUGUUGGGUUAAGUCCCGCAACGAGCGCAACCCUUAAGCUUAGUUGCCAUCAUUAAGUUGGGCACUCUAAGUUGACUGCCGGUGACAAACCGGAGGAAGGUGGGGAUGACGUCAAAUCAUCAUGCCCCUUAUGAUUUGGGCUACACACGUGCUACAAUGGACAAUACAAAGGGCAGCGAAACCGUGAGGUCAAGCAAAUCCCAUAAAGUUGUUCUCAGUUCGGAUUGUAGUCUGCAACUCGACUACAUGAAGCUGGAAUCGCUAGUAAUCGUAGAUCAGCAUGCUACGGUGAAUACGUUCCCGGGUCUUGUACACACCGCCCGUCACACCACGAGAGUUUGUAACACCCGAAGCCGGUGGAGUAACCUUUUAGGAGCUAGCCGUCGAAGGUGGGACAAAUGAUUGGGGUGAAGUCGUAACAAGGUAGCCGUAUCGGAAGGUGCGGCUGGAUCACCU
RNAcentral lists this ribosomal RNA (1435 nucleotides) under Staphylococcus aureus M1253. RNAcentral's name for it is "bacterial SSU rRNA". It matches the Rfam family "Bacterial small subunit ribosomal RNA". Lineage: Bacteria; Bacillati; Bacillota; Bacilli; Caryophanales; Staphylococcaceae. RNAcentral also lists the same sequence under 2 other names. The record is from RNAcentral.